This 399-nucleotide ribosomal RNA is filed under the name uncultured bacterium. Its description in RNAcentral is "bacterial SSU rRNA". It matches the Rfam family "Bacterial small subunit ribosomal RNA", at positions 30 to 417 of the family's 1533-position model. The record is from RNAcentral.
AGUGAACGCUGGCGGCAGGCCUAACACAUGCAAGUCGAGCGGCAGCGCGUCCGACCACCCUCGGGUGGUCGGAUGGCGGCGAGCGGCGGACGGGUGAGGAAUGCAUCGGAAUCUGCCUCGUUGUGGGGGAUAACGUAGGGAAACUUACGCUAAUACCGCAUACGACCUACGGGUGAAAGUGGGGGACCUUCGGGCCUCACGCGAUGAGAUGAGCCGAUGCCGGAUUAGCUAGUUGGCGGGGUAAAGGCCCACCAAGGCGACGAUCCGUAGCUGGUCUGAGAGGAUGAUCAGCCACACUGGAACUGAGACACGGUCCAGACUCCUACGGGAGGCAGCAGUGGGGAAUAUUGGACAAUGGGGGCAACCCUGAUCCAGCCAUGCCGCGUGUGAAGAAGGCCU